UACGAAGGGGGCUAGCGUUGCUCGGAAUCACUGGGUGUAAAGCGCACGUAGGCGGCUUCUUAAGUCAGGGGUGAAAUCCUGGAGCUCAACUCCAGAACUGCCUUUGAUACUGAGGAGCUUGAGUCCGGGAGAGGUGAGUGGAACUGCGAGUGUAGAGGUGAAAUUCGUAGAUAUUCGCAAGAACACCAGUGGCGAAGGCGGCUCACUGGCCCGGUACUGACGCUGAGGUGCGAAAGCGUGGGGAGCAAACAGG
Molecule: ribosomal RNA, 253 nt
Filed under: uncultured bacterium
Lineage: Bacteria
Description: partial 16S ribosomal RNA
Rfam family: Bacterial small subunit ribosomal RNA
Source: RNAcentral